AACGCACGAGACCUGCGGACCUGCGGAAGGAUCAUUACAUGGCGGAGGAGGUGGGCACCUAGUAAAAACAAAACCCUAGGUGUGUUGCCUACCACGCUUUCUACCCUUGUCUAUUUGCACCUUUUGUCGUUCCCUCGGUGGGUCUUGAACCUGCCGGCGGCAACUUUCAAAAACCUUUUGUGGUUAGUAUCUAAUUCUUCUGAUCAAAUAUUCAAUCGUUACAACUUUCAACAAUGGAUC
Molecule: unclassified non-coding RNA, 240 nt
Filed under: soil metagenome
Description: partial contains 5.8S ribosomal RNA, internal transcribed spacer 2, and large subunit ribosomal RNA
Source: RNAcentral